RNAcentral lists this long non-coding RNA (2752 nucleotides) under Salmo salar (Atlantic salmon). RNAcentral describes it as "lncRNA (ENSSSAG00000099424.1, ENSSSAG00000113323.1)". The record is from RNAcentral. Lineage: Eukaryota; Metazoa; Chordata; Actinopteri; Salmoniformes; Salmonidae.
CUGACUAACCCAACACCUUAUUGAGACUUGUUGAUCAGCCUGACUAACCCAACACCUUAUUGAGACUUGCUGAUCAGUCUGACUAACCCAACACCUUAUUGAGACUUGUUGAUCCCAACACCUUAUUGAGACUUGUUGAUCCCAACACCUUAUUGAGACUUUCUGAUCAGUCUGACUAACCCAACACCUUAUUGAGACUUGUUGAUCAGCCUGACUAACCCAACACCUUAUUGAGACUUGCUGAUCAGUCUGACUAACCCAACACCUUAUUGAGACUUGUUGAUCCCAACACCUUAUUGAGACUUGUUGAUCCCAACACCUUAUUGAGACUUGCUGAUCAGCCUGACUAACCCAAUAGCGUAUGGCUCCAGAGGUUCAAUAAUAUAAUAACACCUACUAACCAACAGAUAAAGUGCCAACAAGGAAAAAGUUGUCUCUGCUCAACGCAGAAGGCUACAGUCAAAUUAUCCUAUAUUUGGCCCAAAUGGCACCCUAUUCCCUAUAAAGUGCACUACUUUUGAACAGAGCACUAUGGGACCUGGUCAAAAGUAGUGCACUAUGUAGGGAAUAGGGUGCCAUUUGGGAUUUAACCAGAAGGAUAUAACAAUGUGUAUUACAUUCAUUUAAAUAAAGCAAGCCAGCCAGGUCUCUCCCUAGGCUAGUUACAGGUUACAGACAACAUGUCUCUCCCCAGGCUAGUUACAGGUUACAGACAACAUGUCUCUCCCCAGGCUAGUUACAGGUUACAGACAACAUGUCUCUCCCUAGGCUAGAUACAGGUUACAGACAACAUGUCUCUCCCCAGGCUAGUUACAGUUUACAGACAACAUGUCUCUCCCUAGGCUAGUUACAGGUUACAGACAACAUGUCUCUCCCCAGGCUAGUUACAGGUUACAGACAACAUGUCUCUCCCUAGGCUAGUUACAGGUUACAGACAACAUGUCUCUCCCUAAGCUAGUUACAGGUUACAGACAACAUGUCUCUCCCUAGGCUAGUUACAGGUUACAGACAACAUGUCUCUCCCCAGGCUAGUUACAGGUUACAGACAACAUGUCUCUCCCUAGGCUAGUUACAGGUUACAGACAACAUGUCUCUCCCAGGCUAGUUAUAGGUUACAGACAACAUGUCUCUCCCAGGCUAGUUAUAGGUUACAGACAACAUGUCUCUCACUAGGCUAGUUACAGGUUACAGACAACAUGUCUCUCCCUAGGCUAGUUACAGGUUACAGACAACAUGUCUCUCCCAGGCUAGUUAUAGGUUACAGACAACAUGUCUCUCCCAGGCUAGUUAUAGGUUACAGACAACAUGUCUCUCACUAGGCUAGUUACAGGUUACAGACAACAUGUCUCUCCCUAGGCUAGUUACAGGUUACAGACAACAUGUCUCUCCCCAGGCUAGUUAUAGGUUACAGACAACAUGUCUCUCCCUAGGCUAGUUACAGGUUACAGACAACAUGUCUCUCCCUAGGCUAGUUACAGGUUACAGACAACAUGUCUCUCCCCAGGCUAGUUACAGGUUACAGACAACAUGUCUCUCCCCAGGCUAGUUACAGGUUACAGACAACAUGUCUCUCCCCAGGCUAGUUACAGGUUACAGACAACAUGUCUCUCCCAGGCUAGUUACAGGUUACAGACAACAUGUCUCUCCCCAGGCUAGUUACAGGUUACAGACAACAUGUCUCUCCCUAGGCUAGUUACAGGUUACAGACAACAUGUCUCUCCCUAGGCUAGUUACAGGUUACAGACAACAUGUCUCUCCCCAGGCUAGUUACAGGUUACAGACAACAUGUCUCUCCCCAGGCUAGUUACAGGUUACAGACAACAUGUCUCUCCCCAAGCUAGUUAUAGGUUACAGACAACAUGUCUCUCCCUAGGCUAGUUACAGGUUACAGACAACAUGUCUCUCCCCAGGCUAGUUAUAGGUUACAGACAACAUGUCUCUCCCCAGGCUAGUUAUAGGUUACAGACAUGUCUCUCACUAGGCUAGUUACAGGUUACAGACAACAGACUGCCACACAGGGCUUGGGUCAAGAGAAGUGUGGUGUAGGAUGCCGUUUGAGGUGUGGCACUAUGGAAAGCAGCAUCUGGGAGGUCAAGGGUCAAAGGCCACCCAGGCAGAGGUCAAGGGUGGGUGACCUCACUCUCUUUACCACUACUCAACGUAGAGGGGGGCGGGAUCUGACUGAUGGGACAGGUUUCUCCAGCUGACGUCUGUGAUUGGACAGAUAUCCAUUCACUCACUCCCUGUGGGGAUAACAUUGCACUGUCUGUCAAAUAAAUAUUCAACCAUAGUCCACCCGGUUCUAUUGGAGAUAAAAGAUCAGAACAUUCCGGUUACAUUGGAUAGAACAAAUUAGAAUAUUCUGAUUCUUUCCUCUGAUGGCAAUAAAGGCAAUCUGGGGCAGAGAAAAAACAAAAAGGACUCUUUUAUAGUCUCUUAACAGAGUACACUUUCAAAAGCACAAAAUGCCCAUUUAGAAUAAAAUAUUCAAAAAAAAUCCUAGGUGGUAUUCUGAGUCUGUUUGAGAGAGGAGAGCAGAUCAGAUGGCCUUCUGACUGAACUUCUGACUUCCCAGCAAACCGGAGCGGACAAAUUCUGCAAGAAUCCAGACACCCGUUUAAAGGAUAGUUGAACAAACAGAGUUUGGGAGAAACAGUAAGAGUUGUUGGAAGGGAUUUGUCCUGGAGAAGUCUUUAGUUAAGGGAGGGAGGGAUGGUGGUAGGAGUAACAGCAGUAAGAGUUGUUGGAAGGG